Molecule: unclassified non-coding RNA, 89 nt
Filed under: Pseudomonas sp. NFACC14
Lineage: Bacteria; Pseudomonadati; Pseudomonadota; Gammaproteobacteria; Pseudomonadales; Pseudomonadaceae
Source: RNAcentral
UGUGGGAGCGAGCUUGCUCGCGAUAGCGUCGGCCCAGUCGACUUGAUGUUGACUGGCACACCGCUAUCGCGAGCAAGCUCGCUCCCACA